This is a small nuclear RNA of Gorilla gorilla gorilla (western lowland gorilla), 105 nucleotides long. The record is from Ensembl. NCBI's taxonomy places the organism in Eukaryota, Metazoa, Chordata, Mammalia, Primates, Hominidae.
UGCUUGCUUCAGCAGUAAUAUACUAACAUUGUAAUGAUACAGAGACAAUUAGCAUGGCCCCUGUGCAAGGAUGACACGAAAAAGAAAAAAAAAAUACUUUGCUAU